UUUGGGGUAAAUGGACUGGAACUCAAACUGAAGAAUUGUAUCUCUUUUACUUUAUAAAUUUACAACAACUGCUGCAAUCACAGGACAGGAAGUGACAUCAAUGGAGCAGAACGACAAGGGCACAUUGGAAACUGAGAAACAGCAAAUGAAUGGUCAAACAGAAGAAGCACCUCAAGAGACGACCACACCUGAAGAGCCGGCUAAUGUAAGUGAGAAUAAUUCAGAUAAAAAUGAUCAAGAAAUGCAUGAGAGCAAUGCAGAAAAGAAUGAAGAAGAAAUAAGUGUGAAUAAUGGAGAUCAGAAUGAAGAGGAAAAUGUGAAGGAAGAAGAGGAAGAAGAGGAUGAAUUGGCUGAUGGUUUCCAGACUUCGGUCGAGAUGUCAAUCCGGCAAUUUGAGAAGGAUGAAAAUAACCGCCCUAUUUGCAGAUCUGUGGACGAUGUACAGAAUAAAUGAUGAUUUGAGAGCGAGAGGUCGCCUCGGAAGUGUGAGUCAUCCGUCAGUGUUUGUGUGCUGGGAGAGCGGCCCACUGUGGCCUGACUCUACGGCAGACAUUCAUGAAGCCCCCUCACACCAGGAUCGCUCUACAAUGACAGCUUUGUAAAGGAUGGAAGAGAGCUGCUGUGGAAAAUAUUCAAGACACAGAGAGAAAGAGAGAGACAAUGAGAGAAAAAGAGGAGCUAUCAAAGUGUUUCGUUCACAAAGUCUGCGAGUGUUCCAGCUCCACUGGAAACUUUCAGUCGUUCAGUUGAGUUUAAAGGGGGUGAGAGACAAAUAGAAAGCUUGCGUCUUGUGGUAAACAUGGGGUGGGGUCAGGAGGGAUCAUUUUUCUUUGUGCAUUCAGUGGGUGGGUGUGAUGGCUUACUGGAGGCCUGUUCCGCUGUCCAUUCUCUCUUCAGGUCAGCUCCAGAGACCAGUGACGUCACAGUGACUCACAACAGACAUGCCAUGACAGAACACACAGGAACUGAUGACUUUCUGAGUGAAAUAGCUUCUGAAAAACUAAUUUCUUUGGGGUGGCGUUGUUUCCUGUACAAAAACGCAAUAAUUAACAAUGGUAACAAAACCAAACCAGUUCCAAAAGACUCUAUGCCAUCUUGAACUUCACAUUCUUG
Long non-coding RNA from Cyprinus carpio carpio, 1113 nucleotides. Lineage: Eukaryota; Metazoa; Chordata; Actinopteri; Cypriniformes; Cyprinidae. The record is from Ensembl.